Molecule: ribosomal RNA, 247 nt
Filed under: uncultured bacterium
Lineage: Bacteria
Description: partial 16S ribosomal RNA
Rfam family: Bacterial small subunit ribosomal RNA
Source: RNAcentral
AUACGGAGGGUGCGAGCGUUGUUCGGGAUUAUUGGGCGUAAAGCGCGUGCAGGCGGUCUUUUAAGUCUGAUGUGAAAGCCCCGGGCUCAACCUGGGAAGUGCAUUGGAAACUGGGAGACUUGAAUACGGGAGAGGGUAGUGGAAUUCCUAGUGUAGGAGUGAAAUCCGUAGAUAUUAGGAGGAACACCGGUGGCGAAGGCGGCUACCUGGACCGAUAUUGACGCUGAGACGCGAAAGCGUGGGGAGC